Molecule: ribosomal RNA, 525 nt
Filed under: uncultured bacterium
Lineage: Bacteria
Description: bacterial SSU rRNA
Rfam family: Bacterial small subunit ribosomal RNA
Source: RNAcentral
AGAGUUUGAUCCUGGCUCAGGACGAACGCUGGCGGCGUGCUUAACACAUGCAAGUCGAGCGGGGAUGCGAGCCUGAGCGCUUCGGCGUGAAGGCUAGCGUCCUAGCGGCGGACGGGUGAGUAACGCGUGGGCAACCUGCCCUCAAGACCGGGAUACCAACUCGAAAGGGUUGUUAAUACCGGAUGUGAUGAAUGGCUCGCAUGAGUUGUUCAUCAAAGGAGCGAUCCGCUUGAGGAGGGGCCUGCGUUCCAUUAGCUAGUUGGUGAGGUAACGGCUCACCAAGGCGACGAUGGGUAGCCGGCCUGAGAGGGUGAACGGCCACACUGGGACUGAGACACGGCCCAGACUCCUACGGGAGGCAGCAGUAGGGAAUAUUGCGCAAUGGGCGGAAGCCUGACGCAGCGACGCCGCGUGAGCGAAGAAGGCCUUCGGGUCGUAAAGCUCUGUCCUUGGGGAAGAAGGCGAAAGCUUGACGGUACCCAAGAAGAAAGCCCCGGCUAACUACGUGCCAGCAGCCGCGGUAAU